Molecule: non-coding RNA, 955 nt
Organism: Danio rerio (zebrafish)
Lineage: Eukaryota; Metazoa; Chordata; Actinopteri; Cypriniformes; Danionidae
Source: Ensembl
AACAAAACAAAGAUUAAAAAAAUCAUUUUUUACAGUUUGUCUGCUCCUGCAGCCUGAUCGGAUCAGAUACACAGAAACUGGUUUUUAUCUUUUUAGCGUCACCAACUCUUCCCGCGGAUAUAGGUUUCUUCCUGAUUCAUGCUGACAACAAAUUAAGUAACACAGAAGACGGAUGAGACCUUGACAAGCAGCAAUUAGGUAACUAGAAUGCUAACACGAGUUGAGGACUUCUGAAGCUUUUAGAGGAUGAACAGACAGAAUUAAGAGGAUGAUCAGCUGAAGACGAAGGACAGAUGGAAGAAUUAAAUAUUGAUAUGUACAGCAGUGAAAGCAGAGUGAGUGAUCUGAGGAUCGUUCUUCUGGGGAAAAGCGUGUCAGAAAACAGCGAGGUGGGAAACUUCAUCUUGGGCCGAUCAGCAUUUGACAGUGAAGCUCCUCCAGGUGUUGUGGAGAGAGUCGGAGGAAGACUGAGGGACAGACACGUGACGCUCAUCAACAGUCCUCAGCUGCUCCACACAAACAUCUCAGAUGACCAGAUCACACAGACGGUCAGAGAGUGUGUGAGUCUGUCUGAUCCAGGACCUCAUGUGGUGGUUCUGCUCCUCCAACAUCAGCAGUGCUCAGCGGAAGAUCAAGAGCGUGUGGAGAAGCUGCAGGACUCUUUCUCUGAGCGUCUUUUUCAACACACCAUGGUGCUCAGCACACAAGAGUCCACUGAACCCAAUGAGAUCCUGCAGAAAAUCAUCCAGACGUGCUCAAACAGACACUUCAGUCUUCAGAGAAGCAGCUCUGCUGAUGAUCUUCUGGAGGCCUUUGAGGACAUCGAGCAGAGCAAUGAUGGACGGUACCUGAUUUGUGCUCAAUAUGAAGCUUCACAGUGUUUUACAGUGGAUAAUCAGAUCACAAGAAGAGGCGAGUAUGAUGAAAUCUGAUGUUUUAUCGAUAUAUGAACACU